GGACCACCAGUGGCGAAGGCGUCUCACCAGAACGGACCUGACGGCAAGGGACGAAAGCUAGGGGCACGAACCGGAUUAGAUACCCGGGUAGUCCUAGCCGUAAACGAUACUCGCUAGGUGUCGGCCACGGUGCGACCGUGGUCGGUGCCGUAGGGAAGCCGUGAAGCGAGCCACCUGGGAAGUACGGCCGCAAGGCUGAAACUUAAAGGAAUUGGCGGGGGAGCAC
This 226-nucleotide ribosomal RNA is filed under the name uncultured Methanosaeta sp. Its description in RNAcentral is "partial 16S ribosomal RNA". It matches the Rfam family "Archaeal small subunit ribosomal RNA", at positions 654 to 879 of the family's 1478-position model. The record is from RNAcentral. Lineage: Archaea; Methanobacteriati; Methanobacteriota; Methanomicrobia; Methanotrichales; Methanotrichaceae.